UACGUAGGGUGCGAGCGUUAAUCGGAAUUACUGGGCGUAAAGCGUGUGCAGGCGGUUUGCCAAGUCAGGUGUGAAAUCCCCGGGCUUAACCUGGGAAUUGCGCUUGAAACUAGCGGGCUUGAGUGUGGCAGAGGGGGGUGGAAUUCCACGUGUAGCAGUGAAAUGCGUAGAGAUGUGGAGGAACACCGAUGGCGAAGGCAGCCCCCUGGGCUGACACUGACGCUCAUGCACGAAAGCGUGGGGAGCAAACAGG
This 253-nucleotide ribosomal RNA is filed under the name uncultured bacterium. Its description in RNAcentral is "partial 16S ribosomal RNA". It matches the Rfam family "Bacterial small subunit ribosomal RNA", at positions 524 to 776 of the family's 1533-position model. The record is from RNAcentral.